AGUGAUUCUGUUGCAUAAUUACA
Molecule: microRNA, 23 nt
Filed under: Mesocestoides corti
Lineage: Eukaryota; Metazoa; Platyhelminthes; Cestoda; Cyclophyllidea; Mesocestoididae
Description: mco-miR-2162-3p
Source: miRBase by way of RNAcentral